UACGGAAGGGGCAAGCGUUGUUCGGAAUCAUUGGGCGUAAAGGGCGCGUAGGUGGUUCUGUAUGUCUACCGUGAAAGCAUACAGCUCAACUGUAUUUUGUCGGUAGAAACUGCAGGACUUGAGGCUGGGAGGGGCUGGUGGAAUUCCCUGUGUAGCGGUGAAAUGCGUAGAGAUGGGGGAGAACACUCGUAGCGAAGGCGGCCAGCUAGACCAGUUCUGACACUGAGGCGCGACAGCGUGGGGAGCAAACAGG
Molecule: ribosomal RNA, 253 nt
Filed under: uncultured bacterium
Lineage: Bacteria
Description: partial 16S ribosomal RNA
Rfam family: Bacterial small subunit ribosomal RNA
Source: RNAcentral